GGUUUUAUAUUCAAUUAAUGAUUUUAGAUUGCAAGUCUAAAGGUGUAAAUAUAUACUAAAACCU
This 64-nucleotide transfer RNA is filed under the name Cysteochila chiniana. RNAcentral describes it as "tRNA-Cys". The record is from RNAcentral. Lineage: Eukaryota; Metazoa; Arthropoda; Insecta; Hemiptera; Tingidae.